Molecule: long non-coding RNA, 1058 nt
Organism: Scylla paramamosain (green mud crab)
Lineage: Eukaryota; Metazoa; Arthropoda; Malacostraca; Decapoda; Portunidae
Exons: 2
Source: RefSeq, a predicted model, not a curated record
GUCGCCUCUGUGGCCUUGAAAAACACUGGUGAUGGCCGCGCGAAGUGUUUCUGCACACGGGACAGUCACUCAGUCACACACUCAGUCAUUGUACUUGUAAGAACACACGUACAGAGAACUACGCGAGGCUGCCAACCCACAAAUCUGGGUGGAGUGGCAUUCUAACUACAGACUGGAGACCCGUUCACUUAAAGGACCCGGUUGGAGUUGGACACAAAAUUCAAGAGCAGAUUUUCAGCCGUUACAAUAUCUUAAAUCUUCUGAUAUGAUUUAAACUGGGCAAUGUUGGGUUUGCUGUAGUGAAUCACCAAGACACAAGUCCAUGCACGUGUCUGGGAUGUAAGGAGGGUAGAAAUGUCUCCCUUCACACCACAGGAGGCAGCACCACCGUGGCAGGACCCCAGAGUCAGGUGCUGUGCUGGGAGGAGACAAACAGCAGCAGUAGUGAAAGAAUCCAUUGGUGGUGGUGGUGGUGGUGGUGCAGCUGUCCACUCCACAGCGACUGUCUUGCUUCAACAUGCUGUCUUCCCACACCUGCAAUGAACAACACCUCUCCUGUGAUGAACAACACUGAGUAAAACCUCUUCCCUGCAUCAGCAACACUCAGCAACACCUCUCCUGUGAUGAACAACACUGAGUAACACCUCUUCCCUGCAUCAGCAACACUCAGCAACACCUCUCCUGUGAUGAACAACACUGAGUAACACCUCUUCCCUGCAUCAGCAACACUCAGCAACACCUCUCCUGUGAUGAACAACACUGAGUAGCACCUCUUCCCUGCAUCAGCAACACUCAGCAACACCUCUCCUGUGAUGAACAACACUGAGUAACACCUCUCCCCUGCAUCAGCAACACUCAGCAACACCUCUCCUGUGAUGAACAACACUGAGUAACACCUCUCCCCUGCAUCAGCAACACUCAGCAACACCUCUCCUGUGAUGAACAACAGUCAGCAACAUCUGCUUCUCUUCACACAUUCAUUCAAGCCUGCCUCUCUCUCUCUCUCUCUCUCUCUCUCUCUCUCUCUCUCUCUCUCUCUCUCUCUCUCUCUCUCUCUC